ACCUGCGGAGGGAUCAUUGCUGGAACGCGCUUCGGCGCACCCAGAAACCCUUUGUGAACUUAUACCUAUUUGUUGCCUCGGCGUAGGCCGGCCUCUUCACCGAGGCCCCCUGGAAACAGGGAGCAGCCCGCCGGCGGCCAACUAAACUCUUGUUUCUAUAGUGAAUCUCUGAGUAAAAACAUAAAUGAAUCAAAACUUUCAACAACGGAUCUCUUGGUUCUGGCAUCGAUGAAGAACGCAGCGAAAUGCGAUAAGUAAUGUGAAUUGCAGAAUUCAGUGAAUCAUCGAAUCUUUGAACGCACAUUGCGCCCUCUGGUAUUCCGGAGGGCAUGCCUGUUCGAGCGUCAUUUCAACCCUCAAGCCUGGCUUGGUGAUGGGGCACUGCCUUCUAACGAGGGCAGGCCCUGAAAUCUAGUGGCGAGCUCGCUAGGACCCCGAGCGUAGUAGUUAUAUCUCGUUCUGGAAGGCCCUGGCGGUGCCCUGCCGUUAAACCCCCAACUUCUGAAAAUUUGACCUCGGAUCAGGUAGGAAUACCCGCUGAACUUAAGCAUAUCAAUAAGGCGGAGGAA
Molecule: ribosomal RNA, 569 nt
Filed under: Diaporthe phaseolorum
Lineage: Eukaryota; Fungi; Ascomycota; Sordariomycetes; Diaporthales; Diaporthaceae
Description: eukaryotic LSU rRNA
Rfam family: 5.8S ribosomal RNA (bases 194-347)
Source: RNAcentral